This is a microRNA precursor of Poecilia formosa (Amazon molly), 43 nucleotides long. The record is from Ensembl. Lineage: Eukaryota; Metazoa; Chordata; Actinopteri; Cyprinodontiformes; Poeciliidae.
CCUGUAUGUAUGCAUGUAUGCAUGCAUGCAUGCAUGUAUACAU